GGCGAUUAGCUCAGGGGGAGAGCGCUUCGUUCACACCGAAGAGGUCACUGGUUCGAUCGGCCGUUCGUCG
Molecule: transfer RNA, 70 nt
Filed under: Pseudonocardia sp. SCN 72-51
Lineage: Bacteria; Bacillati; Actinomycetota; Actinomycetes; Pseudonocardiales; Pseudonocardiaceae
Description: tRNA-Val
Source: RNAcentral